UUACAUUCAGCAAAAACCGUUCAUCAUGUUCGCUGUUAUAUUCGUGUCUCUGUGGCUUUCACUAGGUGACUCCAUGGCAGAUUCAAUAGAGCCACUUUCAACUCAUAAUGUUGUGGAUGAAGGUGACAAUAUUACUCUGUCCUGCAGCUACAAAUUCAGUGCUGUUUCAGGAAGCAACAACCUGCACUGGUACAGGCAAUAUCCAACAUCUAACCCUGAGUUCAUUCUUAAUAUUCUUCAAAGUGGAGAGCUAAUUUCCAACACUGACCCUAGAAUGUCUGCUAAAAUCGAUGAUAAACAAGUGGAUCUGAUCAUCUCCUCUGCUGCUGUAUCAGACUCUGCUGAUCCCAUUAGGGUUGGUUUAGCUGAUCCCAGUGGCUGGGUUGGUUCUGUACUAAGGCCACAGUGA
This is a non-coding RNA of Hemibagrus wyckioides, 409 nucleotides long. NCBI's taxonomy places the organism in Eukaryota, Metazoa, Chordata, Actinopteri, Siluriformes, Bagridae. The record is from the annotation of a RefSeq genome assembly.